GGCUAACUAAGUCAGGAGAGCAUCAGACUUUUAAUCUGAGGGUGCAGGGUUCAAGCCCCUGGUCAGCCU
RNAcentral lists this transfer RNA (69 nucleotides) under Chlamydotis macqueenii (Macqueen's bustard). Its description in RNAcentral is "Chlamydotis undulata macqueenii tRNA". It matches the Rfam family "tRNA". Rfam says of the family: Transfer RNA (tRNA) molecules are approximately 80 nucleotides in length. Lineage: Eukaryota; Metazoa; Chordata; Aves; Otidiformes; Otididae. The record is from Rfam by way of RNAcentral.